This 497-nucleotide ribosomal RNA is filed under the name uncultured bacterium. RNAcentral describes it as "partial 16S ribosomal RNA". It matches the Rfam family "Bacterial small subunit ribosomal RNA", at positions 28 to 507 of the family's 1533-position model. The record is from RNAcentral.
GAUGAACGCUGGCGGCGUGCCUAAUACAUGCAAGUCGAGCGAACAGACGAGGAGCUUGCUCCUCUGACGUUAGCGGCGGACGGGUGAGUAACACGUGUAUAACCUACCUGUAAGACUGGGAUAACUUCGGGAAACCGGAGAUAAUACCGGAGAAUCUAUUGAACCGCGUGGUUCAAUAGUGAAAGACGGUUUUGCUGUCACUUAUCGAUGGAUCCGCGCCGCAUUAGCUAGUUGGUACGUUAACGGCUUACCAAGGCAACGAUGCGUAGGCGACCGGUGAGGGGGAUCGGCCACACGGGAGCGGAGACACGGUCCAGGGUACUACGGGAGGCAGCAGAAGGGAAUGUUCCGCAACGGGCGAAAGCCUUACGGAGCAACGGCGCGUGAGUGAUGAAGGUGCUCGGAGCGGAAAACUGUGUUAUUAGGGAAGAACAAAUGUGUAAGGAGCUAUGCACGGCUUGACGGUACCUAAUCAGAAAGCCACGGCUAACUACGUG